AAGUCGUAACAAGGUUUCCGUAGGUGAACCUGCGGAAGGAUCAUUAUCAUACAACGGAGGCGCUGGGGCUGUCGCUGACUUUUGUCGUGCACGCUCGGAGUGCUCUCUAAAAUCCAUCUCACCCCUUUGUGCAUCAUCGCGUGGGCCUCCCUUCUGGCUUGUUCCGAGGGGGGGUUCGCGUUUCUUUCACACAAACACCCUUUUAAAUGCAUGUGUAGAAUGUCUUACUUUUUGCGAUCACACGCAAUCAAUACAACUUUCAACAACGGAUCUCUUGUCUCUC
RNAcentral lists this unclassified non-coding RNA (283 nucleotides) under Russula parazurea. RNAcentral's name for it is "partial internal transcribed spacer region". The stretch from base 1 to 46 matches the Rfam family "Eukaryotic small subunit ribosomal RNA", at positions 1786 to 1831 of the family's 1831-position model. Lineage: Eukaryota; Fungi; Basidiomycota; Agaricomycetes; Russulales; Russulaceae. The record is from RNAcentral.